UGCCAGACUCCUACGGGAGGCAGCAGUGAGGAAUAUUGGUCAAUGGGAGGAAUCCUGAACCAGCCAUGCCGCGUGCAGGACGACGGCUCUACGAGUUGUAAACUGCUUUUGUACCGGGGUAAAAUGCCUUACGAGUAGGGUUUUGAAAGUACGGUACGAAUAAGGAUCGGCUAACUCCGUGCCAGCAGCCGCGGUAAUACGGAGGAUCCGAGCGUUAUCCGGAUUCAUUGGGUUUAAAGGGUGCGUAGGUUGUUUUAUAAGUUAGCGGUGAAAUACCGAUGCUCAACAUCGGGGCUGCCGCUAAUACUGUAGGACUAGAGAUCGGAUGCAGCAGGCGGAAUGUGUAGUGUAGCGGUGAAAUGCAUAGAUAUUACACAGAACACCGAUUGCGAAGGCAGCUUACUAAACUGUGACUGACAUUGAUGCUCGAAAGUGUGGGUAUCAAACAGGAUUAGAUACCCUCGUA
This 466-nucleotide ribosomal RNA is filed under the name uncultured bacterium. RNAcentral describes it as "bacterial SSU rRNA". It matches the Rfam family "Bacterial small subunit ribosomal RNA", at positions 329 to 792 of the family's 1533-position model. The record is from RNAcentral.